GGCUUUGUGGCCCAACGGUAAAGUGCUCGUCGCGGAGUCAGAGGGUCCUGGGUUUGAUUCCCAACAGGGUCA
RNAcentral lists this transfer RNA (72 nucleotides) under Schistosoma japonicum. RNAcentral describes it as "tRNA-OTHER". Lineage: Eukaryota; Metazoa; Platyhelminthes; Trematoda; Strigeidida; Schistosomatidae. The record is from RNAcentral.